Molecule: long non-coding RNA, 985 nt
Filed under: Mytilus galloprovincialis (Mediterranean mussel)
Lineage: Eukaryota; Metazoa; Mollusca; Bivalvia; Mytilida; Mytilidae
Source: RNAcentral
AGGGCUAUUCCAGAAAAAAAUGUAUGGGGGUGGGGGGGGUGGAAGGCAGUUUUUGUCAGCACCCGCCACCCAGACAAUUGUAAUUGAGAAUUAUAGUGCAUUAUAGUGUGAAAAGUUGCUCUGAUACCCAUCACCCAUGUAUUAUUAAUAUAAUGUGCCUUCUUUUGUCUUAAACAAGAGUGCACACGCUGAAAUGUCUCGCCUUCUAUACUAAUCAUUGAUAUUAUGUUGAUAGUCCUAAGUAUAAAGCUAAGCUUUAAUACAACUGUCACAUAAACUUAACAUUAACCAAGAUAACUAAACAAAGACCAAUGAACCUUGAAAAUGAGGUCAAAGGUCAGAUGAACCAUGCCAGGCAGACAUGUACAGCUAACAAUGCUUCUAUACAACAUAUAUAGUUGACCUAUUACUUAUAGUUUAAGAAAAAUAGACCAAAACACAGAAACUUAGCACUGUGCAAUGAACCGUGAAAAUGAAGUCACGGUCAAAUAAAACCUGCGCGACUGACAUAAAGAUCAUAAAAUAUUUCCAUACACCAAAUAUAGAUGACCUACGGCAUAUAGUAUUAGAUAAAAAGACCAAAACUCAAAAACUUAACUUUGACCACUGAACCAUGAAAAUGAGGUCAAGGUCACAUGACAUCUGCCCGCUAGAUAGGUACACCUUACAAUCAUUCCAUACAACAAAUAUAGUAGACCUAUUGCAUAUAGUAUGAGAAAAACAGACCAAAACACAAAAAUUUAACUAUAACCACUGAACCAUGAAAAUGAGGUCAAGGUCAGAUGACACCUGCCAGUUGGACAUGUACACCUUACAGUCCUUCCAUACACCGAAUAUACUAGCCCUAUUGCUUGUAGUAUCUGAGAUAUGGACUUGACCACCAAAACUUAACCUUGUUCACUGAUCCAUGAAAUGAGGUCGAGGUCAAGUGAAAACUGUCUGACAGACAUGAGGACCUUUCAAGGUACGCACAUAUUAAAUAUAG